CCUUAAGAGACCAACUAAGUUUGUUCUUGGUAUGAGCUUUUGUUUGCAUGCACACAAAAGCUCAUACCAAGAACAAACUUAGUUGGUCUCUAAAGU
This is a non-coding RNA of Podarcis lilfordi (Lilford's wall lizard), 96 nucleotides long. NCBI's taxonomy places the organism in Eukaryota, Metazoa, Chordata, Lepidosauria, Squamata, Lacertidae. The record is from the annotation of a GenBank genome assembly.